This 301-nucleotide ribosomal RNA is filed under the name uncultured bacterium. Its description in RNAcentral is "partial 16S ribosomal RNA". It matches the Rfam family "Bacterial small subunit ribosomal RNA", at positions 509 to 807 of the family's 1533-position model. The record is from RNAcentral.
CAGCAGCCGCGGUAAUACGAAGGGGGCUAGCGUUGCUCGGAAUGACUGGGCGUAAAGGGCGCGUAGGCGGUUUUGACAGUCAGAUGUGAAAUUCCUGGGCUUAACCUGGGGGCUGCAUUUGAGACGUCAAGACUAGAGUGUGAGAGAGGGUUGUGGAAUUCCCAGUGUAGAGGUGAAAUUCGUAGAUAUUGGGAAGAACACCGGUGGCGAAGGCGGCAACCUGGCUCAUUACUGACGCUGAGGCACGAAAGCGUGGGGAGCAAACAGGAUUAGAUACCCCCGUAGUCCCUGUCUCUUAUAC